This 124-nucleotide ribosomal RNA is filed under the name Staphylococcus aureus. RNAcentral describes it as "partial 23S ribosomal RNA". It matches the Rfam family "Bacterial large subunit ribosomal RNA", at positions 1 to 124 of the family's 2925-position model. Lineage: Bacteria; Bacillati; Bacillota; Bacilli; Caryophanales; Staphylococcaceae. The record is from RNAcentral. RNAcentral also lists the same sequence under 1 other name.
GAUUAAGUUAUUAAGGGCGCACGGUGGAUGCCUUGGCACUAGAAGCCGAUGAAGGACGUUACUAACGACGAUAUGCUUUGGGGAGCUGUAAGUAAGCUUUGAUCCAGAGAUUUCCGAAUGGGGA